AUUGAACGCUGGCGGCAGGCCUAACGCAUGCAAGUCGAGCGGUAGCACAGAGAGCUUGCUCUCGGGUGACGAGCGGCGGACGGGUGAGUAAUGUCUGGGAAACUGCCUGAUGGAGGGGGAUAACUACUGGAAACGGUAGCUAAUACCGCAUAACGUCGCAAGACCAAAGUGGGGGACCUUCGGGCCUCAUGCCAUCAGAUGUGCCCAGAUGGGAUUAGCUAGUAGGUGGGGUAACGGCUCACCUAGGCGACGAUCCCUAGCUGGUCUGAGAGGAUGACCAGCCACACUGGAACUGAGACACGGUCCAGACUCCUACGGGAGGCAGCAGUGGGGAAUAUUGCACAAUGGGCGCAAGCCUGAUGCAGCCAUGCCGCGUGUGUGAAGAAGGCCUUCGGGUUGUAAAGCACUUUCAGCGGGGAGGAAGGCGUUAAGGUUAAUAACCUUGGCGAUUGACGUUACCCGCAGAAGAAGCACCGGCUAACUCCGUGCCAGCAGCCGCCGUAA
RNAcentral lists this ribosomal RNA (504 nucleotides) under uncultured bacterium. RNAcentral's name for it is "partial 16S ribosomal RNA". It matches the Rfam family "Bacterial small subunit ribosomal RNA", at positions 30 to 523 of the family's 1533-position model. The record is from RNAcentral.